CGGCGUGCCUAACACAUGCAAGUCGAGCGAUCUCUUCGGAGAGAGCGGCGGACGGGAUGAGUAACGCGUGGGUAACCUGCCCUGUACACACGGAUAACAUACCGAAAGGUAUACUAAUACGGGAUAACAUACGAAAGUCGCAUGGCUUUUGUAUCAAAGCUCCGGCGGUACAGGAUGGACCCGCGUCUGAUUAGCUAGUUGGUAAGGUAAUGGCUUACCAAGGCAACGAUCAGUAGCCGACCUGAGAGGGUGAUCGGCCACACUGGAACUGAGACACGGUCCAGACUCCUACGGGAGGCAGCAGUGGGGAAUAUUGCACAAUGGGCGAAAGCCUGAUGCAGCAACGCCGCGUGAGCGAUGAAGGCCUUCGGGUCGUAAAGCUCUGUCCUCAAGGAAGAUAAUGACGGUACUUGAGGAGGAAGCCCCGGCUAACUACGUGCCAGCAGCCGCGGUAAUACGUAGGGGGCUAGCGUUAUCCGGAAUUACUGGGCGUAAAGGGUGCGUAGGUGGUUUUUUAAGUCAGAAGUGAAAGGCUACGGCUCAACCGUAGUAAGCUUUUGAAACUAGAGAACUUGAGUGCAGGAGAGGAGAGUAGAAUUCCUAGUGUAGCGGUGAAAUGCGUAGAUAUUAGGAGGAAUACCAGUAGCGAAGGCGGCUCUCUGGACUGUAACUGACACUGAGGCACGAAAGCGUGGGGAGCAAACAGGAUUAGAUACCCUGGUAGUCCACGCCGUAAACGAUGAGUACUAGGUGU
This 754-nucleotide ribosomal RNA is filed under the name Clostridium sp. TDGB425. Its description in RNAcentral is "bacterial SSU rRNA". It matches the Rfam family "Bacterial small subunit ribosomal RNA", at positions 40 to 823 of the family's 1533-position model. The record is from RNAcentral. Lineage: Bacteria; Bacillati; Bacillota; Clostridia; Eubacteriales; Clostridiaceae.